UCCCAUCUCCUCUAAGGUGUAACUCCAACUCCCAUCUCCUCUAAGGUGUAACUCCAACUCCCAUCUCCUCUAAGGUGUAACUCCAACUCCCAUCUCCUCUAAGGUGUAACUCCAACUCCCAUCUCCUCUAAGGUGUAACUCCAACUCCCAUCUCCUCUAAGGUGUAACUCCAACUCCCAUCUCCUCUAAGGUGUAACUCCAACUCCCAUCUCCUCUAAGGUGUAACUCCAACUCCCAUCUCCUCUAAGGUGUAACUCCAACUCCCAUCUCCUCUAAGGUGUAACUCCAACUCCCAUCUCCUCUAAGGUGUAACUCCAACUCCCAUCUCCUCUAAGGUGUAACUCCAACUCCCAUCUCCUCUAAGGUGUAACUCCAACUCCCAUCUCCUCUAAGGUGUAACUCCAACUCCCAUCUCCUCUAAGGUGUAACUCCAACUCCCAUCUCCUCUAAGGUGUAACUCCAACUCCCAUCUCCUCUAAGGUGUAACUCCAACUCCCAUCUCCUCUAAGGUGUAACUCCAACUCCCAUCUCCUCUAAGGUGUAACUCCAACUCCCAUCUCCUCUAAGGUGUAACAUGGACAACGCCUAUGGUUGUUGUUUUACUACCUUGUGGAUAUAUAUAUAUAUAUACGGCUGUGUUUUAAAUUUCAG
Molecule: long non-coding RNA, 651 nt
Organism: Oncorhynchus keta (chum salmon)
Lineage: Eukaryota; Metazoa; Chordata; Actinopteri; Salmoniformes; Salmonidae
Exons: 3
Source: RefSeq, a predicted model, not a curated record